AACGAACGCUGGCGGCAUGCCUAACACAUGCAAGUCGAACGAAACCUUCGGGUCUAGUGGCGCACGGCUGCGUGACACGUGGUAACCAGCCCUUAGGUUAGGAAUCCCUCACCGUGAGGGGUGCUAAUACAGGUUAAUCUCUUAGGGGCAAGGAUUUAUGGCCUUUGGAUGGGCGCGGGUUGGUUUGGCCAGUUGGUAGGGUACAAGCCUACCAAGGCCACGUUGCAUAGCUGGUCGGAUAGGAUGACCAGCCACGCUGGGACUGCGACACGGCCUAGAAUCCUACGGGACGCAGCAGUGGGGUGUAUUGGACGAUGGGCGAAAGCCUGAUCCAGCAGUGCCGCGUGAGUGAUGAAUGGCUUAGGGUUGUAAAGCUCUUUUACCCGGGAUGAUAAUGACAGUACCGGGUGAAUAAGCACCGGCUAACUCCGUG
RNAcentral lists this ribosomal RNA (433 nucleotides) under uncultured bacterium. RNAcentral's name for it is "partial 16S ribosomal RNA". It matches the Rfam family "Bacterial small subunit ribosomal RNA", at positions 29 to 507 of the family's 1533-position model. The record is from RNAcentral.